AGAGUUUGAUUAUGGCUCAGAAUGAACGCUGGCGGCAUGGAUUAGGCAUGCAAGUCGAACGGGGCCCUUCGGGACCUAGUGGCGAAAGGGUGAGUAACACGUGAGCAAUCUGCCCCCAAGGCCGGAAUAAGCACUGGAAACGGUGUCUAAAACCGGAUGAGGCCCGGAGUCGCAUGACUCCUCAGCCAAAUAUUCAUACCCUGGGGAUGAGCUCGCGGCCCAUUAGCUAGUUGGCGGGUAACGGCCCACCAAGGCUGCGACGGGUAGGUGGUCUGAGAGGAUGGUCACCCACACUGGGACUGAGACACUGCCCAGACUCCUACGGGAGGCUGCAGUCGAGAAUCUUCCGCAAUGGGCGCAAGCCUGAACCGGAGCGAUGCCGCGUGAGGGAAGUAGGCCUUCGGGUCGUGAACCUCUGUCGACGGGGACGAACGCAAUGACGGUACCCGUCAAGAAAGCCACGGCUAACCACGUGCCAGCAGCCGC
Molecule: ribosomal RNA, 486 nt
Filed under: uncultured bacterium
Lineage: Bacteria
Description: bacterial SSU rRNA
Rfam family: Bacterial small subunit ribosomal RNA
Source: RNAcentral